UACUCAUACAUAUACAUACACAAACAUACACGCACAGACGCGCGCACACGCACAGACAGACACACACACAGACACAGAGUCCAUGCAUACAUAGUGCCAUUCCUCCUGGAGAACAGCAGCAGUUUCUUCUUCGCUCCGUUUCUUGCCAAAGAAGUUUACAGCGAAGUUUUCUCCGCUCGUUUAUCGUCGAAAUUGCGAAAAGGAGAAAAGGAAAAAAAAAAGAAAAACUUUUGUCGCUAACUUGAUAUAUUUAUCAAUCUACCGCCAGCCAGGAUAUAUAAUUAACUGUUUAUGUAUAUAUGUAUAUAUAUUUAUACACAUACAUAUACUUGUAAGAUAUAACUAUUUUAAAUUAUAUUUAUAUAUAAAUACAUAUAUAUAUAUAUAUAUAUACAUAUAUAAUUUAAAAUCUACGACUUGUUUGCCUUUCAAAAGAUGGCACUUUCAAACUUUGUUCAGCUAACGUGGACUUGUCUUGCAAUGGGGAUUUUCCUUCAUGUCAUCUAUGGGAAUCCUGUUGCUCCUGUAGAUCAAGAAGAAACCACAGAUGAUGAUAGUUUUCCAUUAGAUAAUGAAGAGGAAUGCCAGCCAAAGAAUCUGACGUCAUGUCCUCCAGACCAUUGCUGUGUCACAGAGAUUCUUGCGUACCAGCCAAGUUUCAAGGGCCAGAGAGCAGCUGGACAUUUGGUAUGUCGACGCAUGCGCGACGAGGGAGAACUGUGUAUUUUGAAGGACGCCUUACACAUUUGUCCAUGUAGAGAAGGUCUCGACUGCGUGGAAAUGGACGAUUCGGAUUAUGGACACUGUUCGCGAAUAUAGGUCGAAUAUAUUUCAAAGUCAGAAGCGGAAGCAGCCACAGUAACAGCCACAGUAACAGCAGCAGCUGCAUCCAUGACAGAACGGCAAUAAUAAUAAUAAUAAUAAUAAUAAUAAUAUUAAUGAUAACAAUAAUAUUAAUGAUAACAAUAACAACAAUAACUAAAACAACUUGAAUAGAUGCACGCAGUUCACAUUUCUAUGUACACAUUUCGAAAACAUUAUCAUUUCGAAAACAUCCCACACAGCACAUUCUCUGUCCAAUCACCGUCCCAGCUCUCUAACUUAUAAUUCUAAUCAUACAGAGCACACGAAACAUAUAUUCACCACCCAACGAAAUAAACAUACCUCACAUCACUCAUAAACUACACAACGUACAAAAUAUCCCCAAGUAAAACUCCAACCAAUAAAACCAAGAUCCACCUGUACUAAACCAUGUCAAACUGAUCUCAAAAAGGA
RNA transcript from Octopus sinensis (East Asian common octopus), 1275 nucleotides. RefSeq lists it as uncharacterized. The record is from RefSeq and is a predicted model, not a curated record. NCBI's taxonomy places the organism in Eukaryota, Metazoa, Mollusca, Cephalopoda, Octopoda, Octopodidae. The transcript is spliced from 4 exons.